RNAcentral lists this ribosomal RNA (208 nucleotides) under uncultured bacterium. RNAcentral's name for it is "partial 16S ribosomal RNA". It matches the Rfam family "Bacterial small subunit ribosomal RNA", at positions 568 to 774 of the family's 1533-position model. The record is from RNAcentral.
UGUGUAGGUGGCGCGCUAAGUCGGGUGUGAAAUUUCGGAGCUUAACUCCGAAACUGCAUUCGAUACUGGCGUGCUUGAGGACUGGAGAGGAGACUGGAAUUUACGGUGUAGCAGUGGAAUGCGUAGAUAUCGUAAGGAAGACCAGUGGCGAAGGCGGGUCUCUGGACAGUUCCUGACACUGAGACACGAAGGCCAGGGGGAGCAAACG